AUUCUGCUCCUGGCGUAAAAUCAGGAGCUGUAGCAUCAUUUUUUUCAUCUCCUCAUUUUCUGCAUGGAGUUUUCCGAACUCCUUUUGAAAAUCCAUUGAACUUAAAAUGUCGCCGAUAUAUAGGAGCUACUUUAAAAUAAAUUGUAUAGAACUUAAAUAUAGUCUACUGAGCAAAAUCCAAAUAUCUAGGCUACCGAGAAGCGAGCGGGUGAGUCCUAAGGUGAAGAUGCAUCAAGUGAUCUGAAAUGACGAUUUUCGCCCAUAAUGGUGACCUCCCCAUUAUGACGUAGGGGCGCAGACAGCAGACACCGGUUGCACCAACUCUUUGCUACGACUGCUCCUAACUGCUACGUUGGUCUUUGUUAAGACCAGUCUUUAGAAUUGAAUUUAGGGCGACCACGCCCCCCUUCGGAGGAAACAGCGGUAAAAGUGACUGGAGGCCAAUGUGUGAUGGAGCUUGGAAGUUGCGCCGCCAUAUCUUACUCGAUAAAUAAAUAAAGUUCACAUAAUUAGUU
Long non-coding RNA from Alosa alosa (allis shad), 515 nucleotides. RefSeq lists it as uncharacterized. The record is from RefSeq and is a predicted model, not a curated record. The transcript is spliced from 2 exons. Lineage: Eukaryota; Metazoa; Chordata; Actinopteri; Clupeiformes; Clupeidae.